RNAcentral lists this long non-coding RNA (1349 nucleotides) under Anser brachyrhynchus (Pink-footed goose). RNAcentral describes it as "lncRNA (ENSABRG00000009327.1)". The record is from RNAcentral. Lineage: Eukaryota; Metazoa; Chordata; Aves; Anseriformes; Anatidae.
GGCAAGAAGAGUGCUUUGAGAGCAGUUGAGAACCUCUUCAGGUAUCAUGAACAUGUUCUCCAACUGAAACGUGGCAGCAGUUCAAUAGCAGUUACACAACCGGAGGGGGUUUGCAGAGUACUGCAAGUCCCGGGAUUCAUAGGAACUUGUUUUAAUAGAGAGAAGACCUCGGGUUCCUCCAGAACUUCUCCCAUGAAUGUAAAUGAGGUCUCAUCUGCAGUACUGAAGAGGAAAUUUACUCCUAUUGUUGACACUGGACGGGAGGAUUAGAAUAGGGGACUUAAUAGGUGCUAGGCAGAGCACUGCCUUUGAAAAACUGCAGGCAGUCCAAGUACAGGAGAUUCCAGUUGUGGGAAAAUCCCCUUUGGGAAGGCACACUAACAAGAGAACUUGGUAAACAAAGGAAACACCAGUUGAGUGUGCUGCUUCUCAGCUACGUGCAGGCAUUUCUCUUCAGGUGGAAUGGCUUAAGGUGUCGCUUGAAGACCACAGAAUUAUUGCCAGACCACAUUCCUGUUUCUCUUGAGAUCAUAAAUGCGCUUGUAUGGUCCAGAGCCACCCAAGUAGCUUUAGUCUCAGUCAAGUGAGAGAAUAUUUAUUGAUUUAAAAAUAAGAGUACUUCUUGGUCCCCUUAAGUCCUGCAGAGCUAUUGGAGCAGUGCGCUGAAGGUCCCUGAUACAGGACGCAGCCAAAUGCUUUGCUGCAUGUAGCCUUCUGACUAGGGAGUGGCAGCUUGAGAAACCCCGAUGCCUGUAAGCAGCAAAAUCAUAGGGGAAGAGAUUUAGAGUUGUGGAGGAGUUUUCCUAAAGUGUUGUCUUUUAUAACUGCUCCGGAGAGUACUAACUUGUUACCUUAUAAUGUAUAUAAGAUUGCAGUUUAUAUGUACAUAAAUCAAUAAGCCAGGGGAAUCAAGGAAAAAUAGAGAAGCGUGUUGCUGAUGGGAUCCUGGGAUGGAGCAGCUGUUCCUUGUUGAGAACAAGUCAAAGCUCUCAUCCUUGAGCAGGUUCUUUGGCUGUGGGUUAACCCUGUCAGGAAUAUCAAAGCAUGUGACAUGCUUGGCCACAGAAGUUGGUACGUGUGGGGUCUCUCACAAGUUCCUGUCAACACUUCAGCAUUGCAGCUCUCCAGAAUGGAUAACGUUGCUGCCAUUCAUUCUGAGUGGCAUCGUGGCCUCAUUUACAUGGGUUUUACGCUAUCUCAGUUAUCUCAACCUUUUGCUACAGUCAGUUCUUCAUUAUCUGAAGGUAAAUUUAGGUACAAGUCAUGACAGGCAAGGUCCUUGGCUUGGAGUAUGCCUGCCUUCCUGUAGCACUCAGUCACACUCUGGUACGGGUGGAUUUUCCUCUUAG